GACGAACGCUGGCGGCGUGCUUAACACAUGCAAGUCGAACGGAAAGGCCCUGCUUUUGUGGCGUGCUUGUGUGGCGAACGGGUGAGUAAAACGUGAGUAACAUGCCCUUGACUUUGGGAUAACUUCAGGAAAAUGGGGAUCAUACCGGAUAUGAGAUCCUACUGCAUGGUGGGGGAUGGAAAGAUACGGCGGUUGGGGCUGGUCUAGAGGCUUAUCAGCUUGUUGGUGGGGUAGUGGUUUACCAAGGCUUUGAAGGGUAGCCGGCAUGGGAGGUGGACCGGCCACAAUGGGACUAAGAGACGGCGCAGACGCCAACGUGAGGCAGCAGGGGAGAAUAUGGCACAACGGGCGGAAGCCUGUGGCAGCGACCCCGCGUUCGGGAAGACGUCCUUCGGGUGAUAAACCGCUUUCGCCGUAGACGAAGCGAGAGUGACGGUAAUGGGUAAAGAAGCACCGGCUAACUACGUG
This 468-nucleotide ribosomal RNA is filed under the name uncultured bacterium. RNAcentral describes it as "partial 16S ribosomal RNA". It matches the Rfam family "Bacterial small subunit ribosomal RNA", at positions 28 to 507 of the family's 1533-position model. The record is from RNAcentral.